CUUAGAGUUUGAUCCUGGCUCAGAUUGAACGCUGGCGGCAGGCCUAACACAUGCAAGUCGAACGGUAACAUUUCUAGCUUGGUAGAAGAUGACGAGUGGCGGACGGGUGAGUAAUGCUUGGGAACUUGCCUUUGCGAGGGGGAUAACAGUUGGAAACGACUGCUAAUACCGCAUAAUGUCUUCGGACCAAACGGGGCUUCGGCUCCGGCGCAAAGAGAGGCCCAAGUGAGAUUAGCUAGUUGGUAAGGUAACGGCUUACCAAGGCGACGAUCUCUAGCUGUUCUGAGAGGAAGAUCAGCCACACUGGGACUGAGACACGGCCCAGACUCCUACGGGAGGCAGCAGUGGGGAAUAUUGCACAAUGGGGGAAACCCUGAUGCAGCCAUGCCGCGUGUGUGAAGAAGGCCUUCGGGUUGUAAAGCACUUUCAGUUGUGAGGAAAAGU
RNAcentral lists this ribosomal RNA (444 nucleotides) under Alteromonas sp. C13. RNAcentral's name for it is "bacterial SSU rRNA". It matches the Rfam family "Bacterial small subunit ribosomal RNA", at positions 1 to 453 of the family's 1533-position model. The record is from RNAcentral. Lineage: Bacteria; Pseudomonadati; Pseudomonadota; Gammaproteobacteria; Alteromonadales; Alteromonadaceae.